RNAcentral lists this small RNA (61 nucleotides) under Arabidopsis thaliana (thale cress). Its description in RNAcentral is "ATSL047060". The record is from RNAcentral. Lineage: Eukaryota; Viridiplantae; Streptophyta; Magnoliopsida; Brassicales; Brassicaceae.
AAAAGAGAAACCUUAAACCAUGAUUGUUCAGAUUCUCAUCAAUGCCCUCUAUUCAAUAUAC